GCCUCCCCUAAAAAUUUGUUCUGGCUUCGCCCUUGCUCCCCCAUCUUUUUUUUUUUUUUGCUCAGUUAAAAGUAUUACAAAAAUGCAGAAACAGUAGCCACUGCCUAAUGCAACAAACUUUAACAGCCUAACCAUACCCAAAAUCAAACACACAACCUAACAGCAGCAUAAUCCCAGUAAACCCCUACACCAAUAUCUGCUCAAUAGAUUAGCAGAACAAAAACCAGCAGCGCAUUCACUUGAAAAACCAGUAACUGUAAAGUCAUACCUCUGUAUACUCAAAAUUAAUGCAGACCAUCUCACCACCAGGCCUACUCAUACCAGCUCACCCCCCAUCUU
This 339-nucleotide long non-coding RNA is filed under the name Gossypium barbadense (sea-island cotton). RNAcentral describes it as "long non-coding RNA (GBAR_LNC004189)". Lineage: Eukaryota; Viridiplantae; Streptophyta; Magnoliopsida; Malvales; Malvaceae. The record is from RNAcentral.